Molecule: ribosomal RNA, 471 nt
Filed under: Lactococcus lactis
Lineage: Bacteria; Bacillati; Bacillota; Bacilli; Lactobacillales; Streptococcaceae
Description: bacterial SSU rRNA
Rfam family: Bacterial small subunit ribosomal RNA
Source: RNAcentral
GACGAACGCGGCGGCGUGCCUAAUACAUGCAAGUUGAGCGCUGAAGGUUGGUACUUGUACCAACUGGAUGAGCAGCGAACGGGUGAGUAACGCGUGGGGAAUCUGCCUUUGAGCGGGGGACAACAUUUGGAAACGAAUGCUAAUACCGCAUAAAAACUUUAAACACAAGUUUUAAGUUUGAAAGAUGCAAUUGCAUCACUCAAAGAUGAUCCCGCGUUGUAUUAGCUAGUUGGUGAGGUAAAGGCUCACCAAGGCGAUGAUACAUAGCCGACCUGAGAGGGUGAUCGGCCACAUUGGGACUGAGACACGGCCCAAACUCCUACGGGAGGCAGCAGUAGGGAAUCUUCGGCAAUGGACGAAAGUCUGACCGAGCAACGCCGCGUGAGUGAAGAAGGUUUUCGGAUCGUAAAACUCUGUUGGUAGAGAAGAACGUUGGUGAGAGUGGAAAGCUCAUCAAGUGACGUAACUACC